CUUCACCAUUCGACCGUGUCCGCCGACAAUCUUGGAUACUACAUAAAGCUCACCGUGAGGAUCGACCAUGAGGGUUUCGGCAUUGUGUUCGCUCCAGCUGCAUUGAAAAUGGAAAUCAGACGUCGACAUUGGCAUUGAGAACUGUGUCGAAAAAGUCACAUCAGAGCAGAGCUACGCAAAAACAGAUUUGUCUUGAAUAAACUGUAUUAUUUAAAUGAAAUUAGUUAACUCGUAAUGUUCAGCAACACACACAAUUCUAAAUAUUUGGAUCACAUUUUUGGAACCGUCAAUACACAAAAAUGUGGAAACGUACGCGAAUGUAAGCGUCGAGUCGAGGUUAACAGUGAGAUGUGAAGAGAAUGUCGCCGGCUCCUUAAUCCGGUAAAUGGUGUUGGCGGCUGCAUGGGUAUUGCCGCCUAUGUCGGCGAUGUAGAUACAAAACUCUUGCGGGUGGCCUGUAGAUUAAAACAAUGGAGUAAAUGAAUAUCUAAACACGCGUCAAUAAUAAUUGUGUAUAUAGCAAUGCAUAUAAAUUGUACAGUUAAAUUUUUGUACAUAAUAUUUAGGAUUUAUUUUCAAAUAUAAAUUUAUCACUUAUAAUCAAUUGAUUGACAUGUAAAACAAAAAACGCGCAUUACCAUACCGGGACAUUUGCCACAGGCAAUAUCCUCCCAGUCGAUAUUGGUGGCACCGUGGAUUGUGAUCUGUGCAAUCGUGCUACCGUCGUGAGCAGAGAUGGCGUAGAUACUUCCGGUGUGGUCCCCGGAGUCGUUGUGCGUGUACAGAACAUCCCGAUGGAGGCGGCUGGCGCACAGUCCCGAUGCCUCGUGGAUUUCAUUGCUGCUUACCGUAGCUACCUUUA
Long non-coding RNA from Dreissena polymorpha, 862 nucleotides. RefSeq lists it as uncharacterized. Lineage: Eukaryota; Metazoa; Mollusca; Bivalvia; Myida; Dreissenidae. The transcript is spliced from 2 exons. The record is from RefSeq and is a predicted model, not a curated record.